Molecule: long non-coding RNA, 1425 nt
Organism: Chelonia mydas (Green sea turtle)
Lineage: Eukaryota; Metazoa; Chordata; Testudines; Cheloniidae
Exons: 3
Source: RefSeq, a predicted model, not a curated record
UCCUGGUAACAACUUUGUAAGCAGGAGCUACAUGGAUGCACCCGGCUGCUCUCAUUGGGCACAAGCUGUAGUAAGCAGGUUCCAGUAUAUCACAGCUUGUGGGGAAGAAUUUUUCAAGUGUAUCCUCGUUAGUAUAGUGGGAAUUUUGGCUUUGAGGAUGGGGAGGACAAACCCUUCAUGAAACCUAUCAGCAUUGAUACAAGCCAGUCCUAGCACAGAAACCAUCUUGGGCCAAGCAACCUGCUUUGAAGUUAAUGGAGUAAUAAACUGGGGGGGGGGGCAGAAUGCACUUCUCUAUUCACACCCCACAUGCUAUUGUAAUAAUCUUUUUACAAAAUAUGCCUUGUGAGGUAUCGUUUGAAAACUAAUAACUCAAUGGUCAAUAAUGUCAUGAUGAAAUGUGUGUUGCGACAUUAUAUGUAGAGUUACGAACAUAAGCUGAAAUUGUGACUGACGCGUGUGUACCAGACAGGUCCGGGGAGUGGGUAAACCUGUUUCUGAAAGACAAAGAACAAGCUGACAACAUUAGCCAGGUGUCAUCAAAGCUGAUGGACAAUUACCUCUCAAGUGGCCAUUCUUUGGCAAGGAACGGGGCAGGACCAAACAGAUCUGCCUCUUAGCAAACAACAGCACGGAACCUCUUUCACCACCAGACCCCUUGAUUCCAACCUCCCAAUGGAAAUGAACUUUCUCCGUGGGUAGCCCUCAGGAAAAUGCAUUUCAAAGCAUGACUUAACUAUAAAAGUGAGGGGCAAAACCACCCCAAGUUAAUCCCUUCCUAUCCAUCUCUUUCCAUUUCACCUAAGAAGACAAAAGAAGCAGCUAUUGGACUUUGGGCAAGAUCCUGAUCUGAAAUUUGGUCAGCCCUGAUGCUGGAAGCAUGUGAUGAAACACAUAUCUUUGAAACAGACCUUCUGUGUAAGGGGAACAUGCUGCGAGACAAGAAUUGCUUCCCGGAAGGAGGGUAUGUAUGUCUCCUUUUCAUAGUGGAUUGCUUUGGCUAAAUUUGGAUAUUUGGUCUCUUGAACGUUUUUCAGCAUGAACCCGAAUGUCGUCAAACAAUUAGCUACACCUUUUGUUAGUAGGAUACAUGCAUGGGAAGAAAAGCAGUGAAGGGGUCAGGUUUUGGGCCAUGAUACAUAUGUGGAGAGUGGGCCCAAGGUUGCCUUGGAAAUCCUAACUGCGUUUCCUCAUUGUUGUGUAUUUAGUCUCUCACUACCAGCGCCAGAUUAACAUGGCUGUUCAUUGUUCAGAAAAGAAAAGCAACAGAGUAUUUUUCUGUAUGUGGCUAAAUAAACACACCUUUGCAGGGCCGGCGGGGGGGGGGCGGGGCAAGUGGGGCAAUUUGCCCCGGGCCCCGCCGGGGCCCCCAUGAGAAUACAGUUUUCUAUAGUCUUGCAACUUUUUUUGACGGAAGGGCCAGUG